This 139-nucleotide ribosomal RNA is filed under the name uncultured bacterium. RNAcentral describes it as "partial 16S rRNA". It matches the Rfam family "Eukaryotic small subunit ribosomal RNA", at positions 432 to 570 of the family's 1831-position model. The record is from RNAcentral.
GCGCGCAAAUUACCCAAUCCUGACACGGGGAGGUAGUGACAAUAAAUAACAAUACCGGGCGCGUUAGUGUCUGGUAAUUGGAAUGAGUACAAUCUAAAUCCCCUAACGAGGAUCCAUUGGAGGGCAAGUCUGGUGCCAG